This is a long non-coding RNA of Limulus polyphemus (Atlantic horseshoe crab), 4973 nucleotides long. RefSeq lists it as uncharacterized. The transcript has 5 exons. NCBI's taxonomy places the organism in Eukaryota, Metazoa, Arthropoda, Merostomata, Xiphosura, Limulidae. The record is from RefSeq and is a predicted model, not a curated record.
ACUUGCUUAUCAAAUACCCUGUGCUACCAAGCAAGGUAAGCCUGUUCUUCAACAACAGAAAUGCACUGCUGCUUAUAAUUGGUACGAACAGAGUGGCUUUAGCCAGUCCAGGGUCCAAGAGAAAGGUGGUGUGAAAUCACAGGAUAUUAUAAGCUUGCUGUCUGCAGCUCAACAUGAAUAUGACAAAGAAAAAGGAAAGAUUCAAAACAAAGGCAUACAGAAAGUGACCAAAGAAGAAAUCAAAUAUCCAAAAGUUAGUCAGUCAAAUAAUUGUGUUUUUGUUGGAAAAGUAAAAGUGAGACAUCCUAAGCAAACAAAUGUUGAUUCUAAAGAAGUAUACUCUCCUAGCACAACACCAUUAAGUGUUGCAACAUUAUUUGCUCAGGCAUAUCAAAGCCAACAAAUCUGUUCAGAUCUUAGUUCAGAAAAACAAAAUAGUAAAGUCACUUUGAGUAAAAGUGACUUAAAGAAGUCUUUGCAUUCUGAGAGUGAUCCUACUCUCAUUUAUAGCACAGAACAGUCGGCUGGAUGUACUGGAAGAGUUCUUAAUGAGCUGCUGUCAAAUUUGUGUGACCCUAAAAAAUUGUCUUCAAAACAGCAGAAGUCUGGAUCUGAACAAAUGUCAAUUGCUAAUGGCUCUCUUCAUUUCUCUCUUUCAACUCAGAGCUUGGAACAAGAACUAAAAAAAAAGCUAAAGCUAAUUUCAAAAUCUGGUAAUAUGGAAGAAUCAAGUCACAAGACUCUUACUAAAGAACAAGAACUAAAAAAAAGCUAGAGCUAAUCUCAAAACCAGAAAAUACAAAAGAAUCAAACCAAAAGACUCCUUCACCUGCCCCUGUGCCUUUCAAAAGUCCUAUUUUAUCCUCUCAACCAACUUUACUUUCAAAUUCUAUUUUGUCAAAGUUUUCAACCAAGUCAUCAGUAAAAAGUCCUUCAGUUUCACUUCUGACACCAGUUAUGUUUGAACAAGCCCCAGACAAAAUUUUUGCUCCUGCAGAGCCUAGUACUUUCUUAUCAUGCAACAGUGAUCCUUUACACAAGCAAUUUUCCAAGACAUUUGUCUUGAUGACAUCCUGUCCAGCGAGUCUUCCAUUACUUCCACCUGAAGCUUUCAUAAAACCAUCAUAUACAGCCAGCUGUGACUCGGUAACAAAGGAAGAAGAUUAUCUUACUGACUUUCCCCAAGAUAUCAUUCCCCUGACUAGAAGCCAGCUAAAGGGGGCAUUGAUGUAUCUGUUAAAGCAUGAUCAAGAUUUUGUCAACAGUCUAUACAAAGCAUAUGUUCUGAGCCUACAAAUGAAUUAUAAAAAAUCCACAUGAGACAAAACUAGUAUAUUUUCCUAUAUGUCUUGUCUUUGUUUUAGACAGUUUUUGCCUGUGAUGUUCAAGAUAUCUCGCACCUCGUGUGAACAUUUAAACACUCUUAUUAUUGUAAGUCAGGGUUGGGAAAAGCUUCCACUUAGUGUUUGGUUUAGUUUAUCAAACAAGUUGCCAAAACUGUCCAAACUCAAUGUCAUCUAAUGUUUUUAGUUGAAACUGAAUCAAAAAGUUUUAUAAAAGAAAUGUGAUACAAGUAAUGGCUAUUUAUUAUCCCGGAAUACAGCUUGGAAAAGUGUUUUUCUGUUUUAACUGGUAUGUUAGUUUUCCAUUAUUCAAGUUUGAUAUGAACGGCUAUCCUAAGAAUGAAUAAUGGAGUUUAAUAGUGGUAUUCAUCUUGAGUUAAGGUUUAUAUGGAUGCAUUCUAGCCAAAGGCAUAAUCUUUGGAUUAUUGUUCCUUUAUAUAUUUUUACAAAUAUUAGUCAUAUGUAAACAUUUUUAACAAUAAUUUAUAAAUUAUAAUGCUAAUCUCAAACUGGGAUCUUUUCUUUGUAACAUUUGAUCCCAUCUCAGUUUCUCAAAAAUUUUCCCUUUGAGUUUAAGUUAUGAUGAUGUAAUAAGAGGUGUAUAGCUUGUAGUUAUCUGUGACAUUCUCAACAUUUUGUAGACAAAUGAUGUAACUUCUAUGACAGUGUUUUCUGACAAAAAAAAACCAGUAGGUUUAGAUUUUUCUAGUCAAACAGUACUUUAUGUUAGUUGCCUGUUUGAACACAAAGUGUGGUGAAAAGUGGGCACUUUUAACAUAUAGGUACUGAAGAAAAAAAAAGUAGAUUUGGGUGUAAUUAUUAGGAAUUUUGUUUAAAUGUGUUUUUCUUUUUCUCAUUAUUUAUAUUGCUGUAUGUACUAUUGAAUGUUGAAACAUGCAUAAUAUUGUUUGUGUGUAUAACCAUUUUAUGAACAGUAAUUCCUGUUGAUAUUAUUGUAGAAUUAUUAAUAAUAAAUUUGUUAUGGAGAAGUUUUCCAUGAUUGUAUGUCAUGAAAUUAUUUGAUUAAACAAAUGUUAAAUUGGACUGUUGAUUCUACAACAAUACCAACAGUAAUUAACACGUGUGUUAACACAAAUGUUUUGUUAAUAUGAUUUCUUGCAACACAUUUUCGAAUAUAAUUCCAUAAAAGGAACAAAAACUUUUGUGUAUAAAUUUGUUUAAUGAUUUUCCAUGCACACUUAUUAAAGACUUUAUAACAAGAUACAGAAGCGGGUGAUUUAUCGAAGAAAUAAACAGAUUUGAAAACAUCCGUAGCUAGAGUAUGUAGUUGAUUAUAAUAGUAUACACUGUGGUAGUUAUGAUAAGACGCAUGUUUAUAAAUCUGUUUGUUCUGAUUUUAUUCAGCAGUAACUUACUGUUAUAAUAACUGAUACAAUCGAAUGUUUGAGAGAUGAACAUUGAGUUUGUCACUAUCAAACUGGAGGAGUCGGUGUACCUCACUUGGAGACUGACAUAAGUUAUGAUAAGAGGCAUGUUUAUAAAUCUGUUUGUUCUGAUUUUAUUCAGCAGUAACUUACUAUUAUAAUAACUGAUACAAUCGAUUGUUUGAGAGAUGAACAUUGAGUUUGUCACUAUCAAACUGGAGGAGUCGGUGUACCUCACUUAGAGACUGACAUAAGGCACGUUUCAUUAUGAUAUUAUUACAUGGUGUAUAUACAGUUACUGCUGUUCAUGUGCAUAAAAGAAAUGUAUAUAUUUUAUUAAUAUAUACUAUAGUUGCUGCAUAGAUAAAUGACUAUUUUGGGGCACAAAAUAAUCAUUAUUUUGUAAAAUUAGUUUGCUUUAAAGAUUAAUGAGAAAUCAAGAUAAGACUUGUGUUACCAAAGAAAAAAGCCCAUCACGUAAAAUAGCCUAUCUCCAUUACAGUGUACUUGUCUGUAGAAUUACAUUGGGGAAUGAAAAUAUUUAAUAAACUAGUUUUACAAAGUCUGUUUCAGAAGUAUGUGUUGUAAAAAUAAAAAAACAAUCCUAGUUAUAAAGUGUUGUUAUUUAUAUAAUUAUUUCAAGGGAUUAUUUACUUGUGUACAUAUAUAGACACUGUAUAUAUUUCAAAAAUUUGUGGUUUACGAAAUAGGCCUUUAAAAUUUUAUAAACAAUUACAACUGUUGAAAAUCUUAGCUUCACAAAAUGUACAUUAUUGUUCCAGUUUAAAGUUUUAAAGGAAGCUGUUAUCUGAGGAGAUAAGAGUUCAAGUUGUUAUAAAACUUUCCACAUACUUUAAAUAACCAGUUCAUAUUUGUGUAGAAAGUGUAAUGAUUUUCAAGUCAUAUAUAUUUCCAAAAAUUCUGUUUACUAACUGAGUUGCAAAAGUAAGUUCAACAAAUUUAGAGAAUGAUUUUUUUAUGUUAUUUAUUUGUUUCCAAAUUGUGAGAUCAAAGAAAAGUUUCAUGUUUAGAAAAGGACUGAUUAUGUAUAAAUUUAAAGCUCUGUAAUUAUAUUUUAGUAUGAUUUGUGAUAGCAUAUUUCCUAUAAAGGCACUGACACAAGUUUUGGAAAUAUUUUUUUUUAUAUGAUUCAUUACAAUGUGUCUUUGAAUAUAAUUCCUUGUUAUUUUAAAUCAAUUUAAUGAAAUCACUGAGUGGGCUGUACACACAGAAGAUAGGGAACUCUAGUAAUUUAAUCAAAUUUUGGACUCACUCGUUAAACUUGCUUUGGUGCCUUUAAUUGUGUAAGCUAUUUGUCCAUUAUUUGUAUUAUUGUUAUACUGGUUAUUAAGAUGACAGUCAAAGAAAGAAAAACUUAAUUGUAUAUGGUUCUAUAAAAAAUGAAGUACAAAGAAAUAUUCAAAAUAGAUAGAAGUUUGAUUUCUAGGUAAAAUACCUCUUGUGAUAGUAAAUUUAUAUUUUAAAUUAUAAUAUACAAGCUUGGUGUUCUAAUCAGCUGUUGCUAAAUAGAUUAACCUGCACUUUGUUGAUGAUUUUGAAUUAAAUAGUAAAUAUGUGAAUAGGGAAUUUAAUUUGGUAACAAAUCUUUAAAACUUAUUGAAUUCCUUGGAGUAAUCAAGCUUCCAAACUACCAAAAACUAAAGUACAGUAUGGUCUCGAUGCUUAUAAUAUUAAAGAAUUAUUGUUUUUUUUGGUGUACUGAUUCGUGUUGAAAAACUGUAAAAGUUUGUCAAAAAUCACUGCAUUAUUUUUAUAUAUAACUAUAUUUUCAUUAAGUUGAUGUCUCAGAAGUAUGUGAAUGAUAUCCAUAGGUUGUGAAUUUAUUUAUUUUAUUUUUUCUUGUAUUGGUUUUCUUUUUGUGUACAUGACACAAACAACCCCACAUUGUUGUUGUACUGUUUGUAGAAUCUAAUGAGCAAUGUGCUGUUAAAAUAUUCUCUUUAAUAAAACUUACCUGACAUCAAACGUUUAUUUUCAGCAAGAAUUUUCUUCGUUGCAAUAAAUAUGAUUACACAUCAUUGUUUCAGAUUUGUUCAAAGAAAAUUAUUACACAUCAUUGUUUGUUUCAGAUUUGUUCAAUGAAUAUGAUUACACAUCAUUGUUUGUUUCAGAUUUGUUCAAUGAAUAUGAUUACACAUCAUUGUUUGUUUCAGAUUUGUUCAAUGAAUAUGAUUACACAUCAUUGUCUAUGUUUCAGAUUUGUUCAACGAAUAUGAUUACACAU